GCCCGCGCCCGCGCCGCGGCGGUUGGGGGCGGUGUGGCGCGCGCGGCCGUGGGGCGCGGGGAGCUAUCGUGAGAAAAGUACCAUUAAUUCCUACCAAAGAACGGUAAGAGCAGGUGAAUAUGAUGCUCUUGCAGUUGUACUGUUGCAGUUGACUGAGAAAUGCAAGAUUCACUGUGCACUGUGUUGCUUCUUGAAAGCAUAUGCAUCUUACUGAACACGCGAGCUUAUUUGGAAUGUGGAGGUAAAUGAAGACGUAUCAAAGUUAUCUUUGAAUGGAAAAACACUAUCAUCAUCAUACUUGAGACUGGAUCUGCUGUCAUGCAAGAUAAUAGAAAUCUUUGCUUAAAAGGAGCAGUACUUCUGGCUGGGGUGGGAGGGGAGAAAACCAGGUUGACCUUUUGAUGAAC
This is a long non-coding RNA of Rhea pennata, 407 nucleotides long. RefSeq lists it as uncharacterized. The transcript is spliced from 3 exons. Lineage: Eukaryota; Metazoa; Chordata; Aves; Rheiformes; Rheidae. The record is from RefSeq and is a predicted model, not a curated record.